UUCUUCGGGGCAGGGUGAAAUUCCCUACCGGCGGUGACAGUCCGCGACCUGCUUAUGGCAGCUGAUUUGGUGAAAUUCCAAAACCGACAGUAUAGUCUGGAUGAGAGAAGAA
RNAcentral lists this non-coding RNA (112 nucleotides) under human gut metagenome. Its description in RNAcentral is "FMN riboswitch (RFN element)". It matches the Rfam family "FMN riboswitch aptamer (RFN element)". From Rfam's summary of the family: The RFN element is a highly conserved domain that is found frequently in the 5'-untranslated regions of prokaryotic mRNAs that encode for flavin mononucleotide (FMN) biosynthesis and transport proteins. This element is a metabolite-dependent riboswitch that directly binds FMN in the absence of proteins. The record is from RNAcentral. RNAcentral also lists the same sequence under 1 other name.